AUGAACGCUGGCGGCGUGCUUCACCCAUGCAAGUCGAACGGAAAGGCCCAAGCUUGCUUGGGUACUCGACUGGCGAACGGGUGAGUAACACGUGGGUGAUCUGCCCUGCACUUCGGGAUAAGCCUGGGAAACUGGGUCUAAUACCGGAUAGGACCACUUCUUGGAUGUUGUGGUGGAAAGUUUUUUCGGUGUGGGAUGAGCUCGCGGCCUAUCAGCUUGUUGGUGGGGUAAUGGCCUACCAAGGCGUCGACGGGUAGCCGGCCUGAGAGGGUGUACGGCCACAUUGGGACUGAGAGACGGCCCAGACUCCUACGGGAGGCAGCAGUGGGGAAUAUUGCACAAUGGGCGCAAGCCUGAUGCAGCGACGCCGCGUGGGGGAUGACGGCCUUCGGGUUGUAAACUCCUUUCGCUAGGGACGAAGCGUUUUGUGACGGUACCUGGAGAAGAAGCACCGGCUAACUACGUG
RNAcentral lists this ribosomal RNA (466 nucleotides) under uncultured bacterium. Its description in RNAcentral is "partial 16S ribosomal RNA". It matches the Rfam family "Bacterial small subunit ribosomal RNA", at positions 29 to 507 of the family's 1533-position model. The record is from RNAcentral.